This 454-nucleotide ribosomal RNA is filed under the name uncultured bacterium. RNAcentral describes it as "bacterial SSU rRNA". It matches the Rfam family "Bacterial small subunit ribosomal RNA", at positions 74 to 518 of the family's 1533-position model. The record is from RNAcentral.
GUUAGCUUGCUAACUUAGAUGGCGACCGGCGCACGGGUGGAGUAACGCGUAUCCAACUUCCCCCUCGACUCAGGGGAUAGCCCGCUCGAAAGGCGGAUUAACACCUGAUAGCUUCACUAGAUGGCAUCUGACGGUGAAUAAAGAUAACGGCAAGGGGAUGGGGAUGCGUCUGAUUAGCUUGUUGGCGGGGUAACGGCCCACCAAGGCAACGAUCAGUAGGGGUUCUGAGAGGAAGGUCCCCCACAUUGGAACUGAGACACGGUCCAAACUCCUACGGGAGGCAGCAGUGAGGAAUAUUGGUCAAUGGGCGAGAGCCUGAACCAGCCAAAGUAGCGUGCAGGAAGACGGCCCUAUGGGUUGUAAACUGCUUUUGUACGGGAAUAAAGUGACCUACGUGUAGGUUUUUGCAUGUACCGUAAGAAUAAGGACCGGCUAAUUCCGUGCCAGCCGCCGC